CCUGGCUCAGGAUGAACGCUAGCUACAGGCUUAACACAUGCAAGUCGAGGGGCAGCAUGGUCUUAGCUUGCUAAGGCCGAUGGCGACCGGCGCACGGGUGAGUAACACGUAUCCAACCUGCCGUCUACUCUUGGACAGCCUUCUGAAAGGAAGAUUAAUACAAGAUGGCAUCAUGAGUCCGCAUGUUCACAUGAUUAAAGGUAUUCCGGUAGACGAUGGGGAUGCGUUCCAUUAGAUAGUAGGCGGGGUAACGGCCCACCUAGUCUUCGAUGGAUAGGGGUUCUGAGAGGAAGGUCCCCCACAUUGGAACUGAGACACGGUCCAAACUCCUACGGGAGGCAGCAGUGAGGAAUAUUGGUCAAUGGGCGAGAGCCUGAACCAGCCAAGUAGCGUGAAGGAUGACUGCCCUAUGGGUUGUAAACUUCUUUUAUAAAGGAAUAAAGUCGGGUAUGGAUACCCGUUUGCAUGUACUUUAUGAAUAAGGAUCGGCUAACUCCGUGCCAGCAGCCGCGGUAAUACGGAGGAUCCGAGCGUUAUCCGGAUUUAUUGGGUUUAAAGGGAGCGUAGAUGGAUGUUUAAGUCAGUUGUGAAAGUUUGCGGCUCAACCGUAAAAUUGCAGUUGAUACUGGAUAUCUUGAGUGCAGUUGAGGCAGGCGGAAUUCGUGGUGUAGCGGUGAAAUGCUUAGAUAUCACGAAGAACUCCGAUUGCGAAGGCAGCCUGCUAAGCUGCAACUGACAUUGAGGCUCGAAAGUGUGGGUAUCAAACAGGAUUAGAUACCCUGGUAGUCCACACGGUAAACGAUGAAUACUCGCUGUUUGCGAUAUACUGCAAGCGGCCAAGCGAAAGCGUUAAGUAUUCCACCUGGGGAGUACGCCGGCAACGGUGAAACUCAAAGGAAUUGACGGGGGCCCGCACAAGCGGAGGAACAUGUGGUUUAAUUCGAUGAUACGCGAGGAACCUUACCCGGGCUUAAAUUGCAGAUGAAUUACGGUGAAAGCCGUAAGCCGCAAGGCAUCUGUGAAGGUGCUGCAUGGUUGUCGUCAGCUCGUGCCGUGAGGUGUCGGCUUAAGUGCCAUAACGAGCGCAACCCUUGUUGUCAGUUACUAACAGGUUCCGCUGAGGACUCUGACAAGACUGCCAUCGUAAGAUGUGAGGAAGGUGGGGAUGACGUCAAAUCAGCACGGCCCUUACGUCCGGGGCUACACACGUGUUACAAUGGGGGGUACAGAGGGCCGCUACCACGCGAGUGGAUGCCAAUCCCAAAAACCUCUCUCAGUUCGGACUGGAGUCUGCAACCCGACUCCAUGAAGCUGGAUUCGCUAGUAAUCGCGCAUCAGCCACGGCGCGGUGAAUACGUUCCCGGGCCUUGUACACACCGCCC
RNAcentral lists this ribosomal RNA (1382 nucleotides) under uncultured bacterium. RNAcentral's name for it is "bacterial SSU rRNA". It matches the Rfam family "Bacterial small subunit ribosomal RNA", at positions 18 to 1395 of the family's 1533-position model. The record is from RNAcentral.